GAUGAACGCUGGCGGCGUGCCUAACACAUGCAAGUCGAACGGAGUAUCUUUAACAGAAUUUCUUCGGAAAGGAAGAUAUUGAUACUUAGUGGCGGACGGGUGAGUAACGCGUGGGCAACCUGCCUCAUACAGGGGAAUAACAACCGGAAACGGUUGCUAAAACCGCAUAAUAUGCUAACAUCGCAUGAUGACUGCAUUAAAUAUUUAUAGGUAUGAGAUGGGCCCGCGUCUGAUUAGCUAGUUGGUGAGAUAAAAGCUCACCAAGGCGACGAUCAGUAGCCGGCUUGAGAGAGUGACCGGCCACAUUGGGACUGAGACACGGCCCAAACUCCUACGGGAGGCAGCAGUGGGGAAUAUUGCACAAUGGGGGAAACCCUGAUGCAGCGACGCCGCGUGAGUGAAGAAGUAUUUCGGUAUGUAAAGCUCUAUCAGCAGGGAAGAAAAUGACGGUACCUGACUAAGAAGCCCCGGCUAACUACGUGCCAGCAGCCGCGGUAAUACGUAGGGGGCAAGCGUUAUCCGGAUUUACUGGGUGUAAAGGGAGCGUAGGUGGCGAGUCAAGUCAGAUGUGAAAGCCCGGGGCUCAACCCCGGGAUUGCAUUUGAAACUGGUUUGCUAGAGUGCAGGAGAGGUAAGUGGAAUUCCUAGUGUAGCGGUGAAAUGCGUAGAUAUUAGGAGGAACACCAGUGGCGAAGGCGGCUUACUGGACUGUAACUGACACUGAGGCUCGAAAGCGUGGGGAGCAAACAGG
RNAcentral lists this ribosomal RNA (751 nucleotides) under uncultured Herbinix sp. RNAcentral describes it as "bacterial SSU rRNA". It matches the Rfam family "Bacterial small subunit ribosomal RNA", at positions 28 to 776 of the family's 1533-position model. The record is from RNAcentral. Lineage: Bacteria; Bacillati; Bacillota; Clostridia; Lachnospirales; Lachnospiraceae.